AUUUCACAGACAGAGCAACAAGCAUCCAAGCAUCAGUGCUGGACUUAAGGAUGGGAGAUACUUUGCUGUCCGUCCUGUUGUUACCCAUGCUGAUUACACUCCUCUACUAUGGACAUGCUCAAGAUGCUGUGCUGACAACUGAUCCCAACUGGUCCACUUUUUUUGUCGGAGAGUCUGUUACGUUCAUAUGUGACAUGAGCGAAGGCAAAGAUGCUGACUGGGAAUACAGGAUCAAGAAGGAUGGCCAAGAAUAUCUUGCCAGCAACAUACAUCAGGGCUACAUAUUAGGACCUCUGACUACAGAUGACGGCGGUGAAUAUCAGUGUGUUGGUUACAGGAAGAGCUCACAUUAUCCCAAGAAGAGUAAUACUGUCUCAUUAACUG
This is a long non-coding RNA of Acanthochromis polyacanthus (spiny chromis), 384 nucleotides long. RefSeq lists it as uncharacterized. The record is from RefSeq and is a predicted model, not a curated record. NCBI's taxonomy places the organism in Eukaryota, Metazoa, Chordata, Actinopteri, Pomacentridae. The transcript has 3 exons.